AAUGAACGCUGGCGGCAGGCCUAACACAUGCAAGUCGAACGGAUCCUUCGGGAUUAGUGGCGGACGGGUGAGUAACGCGUGGGAACAUACCCUUUGGUACGGAAUAGCCUCGGGAAACUGGGAGUAAUACCGUAUGCGGUCGAGAGACGAAAGAUUUAUCGCCAAAGGAUUGGCCCGCGUUGGAUUAGGUAGUUCGUGGGGUAAUGGCCUACCAAGCCGACGAUCCAUAGCUGGUUUGAGAGGAUCAUCAGCCACACUGGGACUGAGACACGGGCCAGACUCCUACCGGAGGCAGCAAUGGGGAAUGUUACACAACUGGGGAAACCCUGUUCUCGACGUGCUGCGUAAUCGAUGAAGGCCUUAGGGUUGUUUAGAUCUUUCAGCUGGCAAGUUCAUGACUGUACCACCAGAAGAAGCCCCGGCUAACUCCGUGCCAGCAGCCGCCGUAA
Molecule: ribosomal RNA, 449 nt
Filed under: uncultured bacterium
Lineage: Bacteria
Description: partial 16S ribosomal RNA
Rfam family: Bacterial small subunit ribosomal RNA
Source: RNAcentral